AGCGCUGAAGACUGGUACUUGUACCGGUUGGAUGAGCAGCGAACGGGUGAGUAACGCGUGGGUAACCUGCCCUAUAGAGGGGGAUAACUAGAGGAAACUUUAGCUAAUACCGCAUAAAAUCUAAUAACACAUGUUAUAAGAUUGAAAGUGCCAACUGGUACACUAUAGGAUGGACCCGCGUUGUAUUAGCUAGUUGGUGAGGUAAAGGCUCACCAAGGCGAUGAUACAUAGCCGACCUGAGAGGGUGAUCGGCCACACUGGGACUGAGACACGGCCCAGACUCCUACGGGAGGCAGCAGUAGGGAAUCUUCGGCAAUGGACGAAAGUCUGACCGAGCAACGCCGCGUGAGUGAAGAAGGUUUUCGGAUCGUAAAACUCUGUUGUAAGAGAAGAACACCAGUAAGAGUGGAAAGCUUACUGGCUGACGGUAUCUUACCAGAAAGCCACGGCUAACUACGUGCCAGCAGCCGCGGUAAUACGUAGGUGGCAAGCGUUGUCCGGAUUUAUUGGGCGUAAAGCGAGCGCAGGUGGUUUAAUAAGUCUGAUGUAAAAGGCAGUGGCUCAACCAUUGUGUGCAUUGGAAACUGUUAGACUUGAGUGCAGUAGAGGAGAGUGGAAUUCCAUGUGUAGCGGUGAAAUGCGUAGAUAUAUGGAGGAACACCGGUGGCGAAAGCGGCUCUCUGGACUGUCACUGACACUGAGGCUCGAAAGCGUGGGUAGCAAACAGGAUUAGAUACCCUGGUAGUCCACGCCGUAAACGAUGAGUGCUAGUUGUUUGGGGCUAUCCAGCCCUAAGU
This 797-nucleotide ribosomal RNA is filed under the name uncultured Streptococcus sp. RNAcentral describes it as "bacterial SSU rRNA". It matches the Rfam family "Bacterial small subunit ribosomal RNA", at positions 65 to 844 of the family's 1533-position model. The record is from RNAcentral. Lineage: Bacteria; Bacillati; Bacillota; Bacilli; Lactobacillales; Streptococcaceae.